AACGCUGGCGGCGUGCCUAAUACAUGCAAGUCGAACGGCUUUUCUAUGGAAGCUUGCUUCCACUGAGAAGAUAGUGGCGAACGGGUGAGUAACACGUGGGUAACCUGCCCAUAAGAGGGGGAUAACAUCCGGAAACGGAUGCUAAUACCGCAUAGUUUUCUUGAUCGCAUGAUCGGGAAAGGAAAGACGGCCUUUGUGCUGUCGCUUAUGGAUGGACCCGCGGCGUAUUAGUUAGUUGGUGAGGUAACGGCUCACCAAGACGAUGAUACGUAGCCGACCUGAGAGGGUGAUCGGCCACAUUGGGACUGAGACACGGCCCAAACUCCUACGGGAGGCAGCAGUAGGGAAUCUUCCGCAAUGGACGAAAGUCUGACGGAGCAACGCCGCGUGAGUGAAGAAAGGUUUUCGGAUCGUAAAACUCUGUUGUCAGAGAAGAACAAGUUGGAGAGUAACUGCUCCAGCCUUGACGGUAUCUGACCAGAAAGCCACGGCUAACUACGUGCCAGCCGCCGC
This 513-nucleotide ribosomal RNA is filed under the name uncultured bacterium. RNAcentral describes it as "bacterial SSU rRNA". It matches the Rfam family "Bacterial small subunit ribosomal RNA", at positions 32 to 518 of the family's 1533-position model. The record is from RNAcentral.